Clunio marinus is the source of this 82-nucleotide transfer RNA. It matches the Rfam family "tRNA". From Rfam's summary of the family: Transfer RNA (tRNA) molecules are approximately 80 nucleotides in length. Their secondary structure includes four short double-helical elements and three loops (D, anti-codon, and T loops). Further hydrogen bonds mediate the characteristic L-shaped molecular structure. tRNAs have two regions of fundamental functional importance: the anti-codon, which is responsible for specific mRNA codon recognition, and the 3' end, to which the tRNAs corresponding amino acid is attached (by aminoacyl-tRNA synthetases). tRNAs cope with the degeneracy of the genetic code in two manners: having more than one tRNA (with a specific anti-codon) for a particular amino acid; and 'wobble' base-pairing, i.e. permitting non-standard base-pairing at the 3rd anti-codon position. Lineage: Eukaryota; Metazoa; Arthropoda; Insecta; Diptera; Chironomidae. The record is from Rfam.
GCUGAGAUGUCCGAGUGGUUAAGGAGAUGGACUUGAAAUCCAUUGGGUGUUACCCGCGUAGGUUCAAAUCCUGCUCUCAGCG